UCUGGAAUUGUCCUUCUUUCCAGGUGAAAUCUGAUUGUGCUGAUGCUUUGGGGAAGAACAUAUCAGUAUCAAUGGUGAGCAGAAGAGGAGCAGGGAUGAUGAAAGACCACACAUUCUCCAAAAGUCACUAAGCACUGUCCACAGAUCGAACAUUCAUAUUUUCAGAUAGUACUUCCUCUUUAUCUUU
This 187-nucleotide long non-coding RNA is filed under the name Papio anubis (olive baboon). RNAcentral describes it as "lncRNA (ENSPANG00000045515.1)". Lineage: Eukaryota; Metazoa; Chordata; Mammalia; Primates; Cercopithecidae. The record is from RNAcentral.